ACAGCUCAGCUGGUUAGAGCAUGGGGCUAAGAAUGCCAAGGUUGCAGGUUCAAUUCCCAUAUGAGACA
This is a non-coding RNA of Podarcis lilfordi (Lilford's wall lizard), 68 nucleotides long. The record is from the annotation of a GenBank genome assembly. Lineage: Eukaryota; Metazoa; Chordata; Lepidosauria; Squamata; Lacertidae.